RNAcentral lists this unclassified non-coding RNA (210 nucleotides) under Hevea brasiliensis (rubber tree). Lineage: Eukaryota; Viridiplantae; Streptophyta; Magnoliopsida; Malpighiales; Euphorbiaceae. The record is from RNAcentral.
GUGAAAGUCAUUUUCCUUAAAAAUAGUUUAGUAUAUUAAUAUUUUUGUUGACCUAUUUUCUGAGUGUCUCAAAUGCUAAAAAAUGUGAAAAUAUUUUUCGUAAAAUAAAUGGAAUUUAAGUGUGCAUUAUUCUUUCUUUGAAAAGGAAAGCUAAAAUUGAAAACCAUUUAGAAAAAAAGGAAAGGAAAAAUUUGGGAAAGGAUGUUGGAG